RNAcentral lists this ribosomal RNA (497 nucleotides) under uncultured bacterium. RNAcentral describes it as "partial 16S ribosomal RNA". It matches the Rfam family "Bacterial small subunit ribosomal RNA", at positions 28 to 507 of the family's 1533-position model. The record is from RNAcentral.
GAUGAACGCUGGCGGCGUGCCUAAUACAUGCAAGUCGAGCGAACGGACGAGAAGCUUGCUUCUCUGAUGUUAGCGGCGGACGGGUGAGUAACACGUGGAUAACCUACCUAUAAGACUGGGAUAAAUUCGGGAAAACGGAGCUAAUACCGGAUAAUAUUUUGAACCGCAUGGUUCAAAAGUGAAAGACGGUCUUGCUGUCACUUAUAGAUGGAUCCGCGCUGCAUUAGCUAGUUGGUAAGGUAACGGCUUACCAAGGCAACGAUGCAUAGCCGACCUGAGAGGGUGAUCGGCCACACUGGAACUGAGACACGGUCCAGACUCCUACGGGAGGCAGCAGUAGGGAAUCUUCCGCAAUGGGCGAAAGCCUGACGGAGCAACGCCGCGUGAGUGAUGAAGGUCUUCGGAUCGUAAAACUCUGUUAUUAGGGAAGAACAUAUGUGUAAGUAACUGUGCACAUCUUGACGGUACCUAAUCAGAAAGCCACGGCUAACUACGUG